AGCAGCCGCGGUAAUUCCAGCUCCAAUAGCGUAUAUUAAAGUUGUUGCAGUUAAAAAGCUCGUAGUUGAAUUUCAGGCCUGGCUGGGCGGUCCGCCUUUUGGGUGAGUACUGCCUGUGGUCGGGUCCUACCUUCUGGCGAAGCGUCAUGGCCUUAACCGGCCGUGGCGGGGAACCAGGACUUUUACUGUGAAAAAAUUAGAGUGUUCAAAGCAGGCAUUCGCUUGAAUACAUUAGCAUGGAAUAAUGGAAUAGGACAGUGGUUCUAUUUGUUGGUUUCUAGGACCGUUGUAAUGAUUAAUAGGGAUAGUUGGGGGCAUUAGUAUUCAAUUGUCAGAGGUGAAAUUCUUGGAUUUAUUGAAGACUAACUACUGCGAAAGCAUUUGCCAAGGAUGUUUUCAUUAAUUAAGAACGAAAGUUAGGGGAUCGAAGACGAUCAGAUACCGUCGUAG
Molecule: ribosomal RNA, 450 nt
Filed under: uncultured Glomeromycotina
Lineage: Eukaryota; Fungi; Glomeromycota
Description: SSU rRNA
Rfam family: Eukaryotic small subunit ribosomal RNA
Source: RNAcentral